GACGAACGCUGGCGGCGUGCUUAACACAUGCAAGUCGAACGGAAAGGCCCUGCUUUUGUGGGGUGCUCGAGUGGCGAACGGGUGAGUAACACGUGAGUAACCUGCCCUUGACUUUGGGAUAACUUCAGGAAACUGGGGCUAAUACCGGAUAGGAGCUCCUGCUGCAUGGUGGGGGUUGGAAAGUUUCGGCGGUUGGGGAUGGACUCGGGGCUUACCAGCUUGUUGGUGGGGUAGUGGCUUACCAAGGCUUUGAAGGGUAGCCGGCCUGAGAGGGUGACCGGCCACAUUGGGACUGAGAUACGGACCAGACGCCUACGGGAGGCAGCAGUGGGGAAUAUGGCACAAUGGGCGGAAGCCUGAUGCAGAAACGCCGGGAGCGGGAUGACGGCCUUCGGGUUGUAAACCGCUUUCGCCUGUGACGAAGCGUGAGUGACGGUAAUGGGUAAAGAAGCACCGGCUAACUACGUG
This 468-nucleotide ribosomal RNA is filed under the name uncultured bacterium. Its description in RNAcentral is "partial 16S ribosomal RNA". It matches the Rfam family "Bacterial small subunit ribosomal RNA", at positions 28 to 507 of the family's 1533-position model. The record is from RNAcentral.